RNAcentral lists this ribosomal RNA (815 nucleotides) under uncultured bacterium. RNAcentral describes it as "bacterial SSU rRNA". It matches the Rfam family "Bacterial small subunit ribosomal RNA", at positions 8 to 796 of the family's 1533-position model. The record is from RNAcentral.
AGAGUUUGAUCAUGGCUCAGAACGAACGCUGGCGGCGUGGAUAAGACAUGCAAGUCGAGCGCUGAUUUCAGGGUAGCAAUAUUCUGGAGUCGGAGCGGCGCAAGGGUGCGUAACACGUGGGUAAUCUGCCAUGAAGUUUGGAAUAACUUGCUGAAAGGCGAGCUAAUACCGGAUGUGACCGUUGGGAGGCCUCUCCCGAUAGUUAAAGCUGGGGACCGUAAGGCCUGGCGCUUCAUGAUGAACCCGCGGCCUAUCAGCUAGUUGGUGAGGUAACGGCCCACCAAGGCUAAGACGGGUAGCUGGUCUGAGAGGACGACCAGCCACACUGGAACUGAGACACGGUCCAGACACCUACGGGUGGCAGCAGUCGAGAAUUUUUCACAAUGGGCGCAAGCCUGAUGGAGCGACGCCGCGUGGGGGAUGAAUGGCUUCGGCCCGUAAACCCCUGUCAUUCGCGAUCAACCCUUAUUAUUUAAAAGAUGAUAAGCUGAUAGUAGCGGAAGAGGAAGGGACGGCUAACUCUGUGCCAGCAGCCGCGGUAAUACAGAGGUCCCAAGCGUUGUUCGGAUUCACUGGGCGUAAAGGGUGCGUAGGUGGCUUGAAAAGUUUGAUGUGAAAGCUCAGGGCUUAACCCUGAAAUGGCAUUGAAUACUGUCGGGCUGGAGGUUUGGAGGGGGGACUGGAAUUCUUGGUGUAGCAGUGAAAUGCGUAGAUAUCAAGAGGAACACCAGUGGCGAAGGCGAGUCCCUGGACAACACCUGACACUGAGGCACGAAAGCUAGGGGAGCAAACAGGAUUAGAUACCCUAGUAGUCC